This 486-nucleotide ribosomal RNA is filed under the name Triticum aestivum (bread wheat). Its description in RNAcentral is "partial small subunit ribosomal RNA". The record is from RNAcentral. Lineage: Eukaryota; Viridiplantae; Streptophyta; Magnoliopsida; Poales; Poaceae.
AUGGCGGUCAAGUCUCUAGUUCUUCUCGGUGUCGUAAUAGCCUCGCUCCUGCUUCUCUCUCAGAAUGUAGCACAUGCUAGAGAGCUCCUUGAUGCUAAAGAGUCCAAGGAGAAGAAUGUAAAACCUGCAGGAGGGCCGGGCCUGAAGGACGAGAAAUGGGGAGGUGGAAGCAAGCAUUAUGGAGGGUAUGGUACACAAACAAUGGUGGUGGGUAUGGUGGAGGAUACAGAAAUUCUAGGCAUGGUGGCGGUUAUGGCGGUGGAGGUUAUGGACCCAGAUAUGGAGGCGGUUAUGGUCAUCCAGGCAACGGUGGGGGAUUUGGCGGCGGCUUUGGUGGAGGAUAUGGUGGUGGCGGUGGAUACGGUGGAAGUGGAUGAUACGGUGGUGGUGGCGGGUAUGGUGGAGGAGGAGGUUAUGGUGGAGGAUCCGGUGGUGCCGGCUAUCCUUGAGACGGCUAUGAUGAAGGAGGUCAUAAUGAAUGAGUAG